GAAGUAGGGGCAUUUUAAUCGAUAUUAGAACGAUAAAGAGAGGUGCAGUGUGAACGCACAAAGAAACAAUUGAUGGGAGGGGGAGGGAAGGAGAAGGAGUGUAUGUAUUUUCAGCACGAAAUGAAACAGGUGCGAUCAUACCAGCACUAAUGCAACGGAUUCUAUCAGAACUCCGUAGGUAAGGGUGCUUGGGCGAGAGAAGUACUAGCAUGGGUUACCUCCUGCGAAGUUCUUAUAUUUCACCCAUUUUCUUGUGAAGUCCUCGUGUUGCACCGAUUUUUUUGCAGAUGAUUCUUUCGACGUUACGCGCGACUUGAAUUAUGGUCCUCAGGUUUAUUCGCAAAUGUGAGUGACGGCGCUGUAGCAUUUUACUUGAUAUUAGAACGAGAACGGGAGGUGCAGUGCGCACACACAAGGAAACAAAGGAUGGGAGGGGGAAGAAAGGCGAAUGAGUUUAUGUAUUUGCAGCGCGAAAUUAAACAGGCGCGAUCAUACCAGCACUAAUGCACCGGAUCCCAUCAGAACUCCGCAGUGAAGUGUGCUUGGGCGAGAUUAGUACUCGGAUGGGUGACCUCCUGGGAAGUCCUCGUGUCGCACCAAUUUUUUUCAGACGGGUCGUUCAACGUUACGCGCGUCUGGAACUAGGGUCCACUGGUUUAUACGCAAAUGUGAGUCAAGAAGCAGGGGCAUUUUAAUCGAUAUUAGAACAAGAAUGAGAGGUGAAGUGUGAACGCACAAGGAAACAAAUGACGGGAGGGGAAAGAAAGGAGAAGGAGUGUAUGUAUUUGCAGCGCGAAUUUAAACAGGUGCGAUCAUACCUGCACUAAAGACCCGGAUCCCAUCAGAACUCCGCAGUUAAGUGUGCUUGGGCGAGAGUAGUACUCGGAUGGGUGACCACUUGGGAAGCCCUUGUGUUGCACCUAUUUUUUUUCGGAUGGGUUGUUCGACGUUGCGCGCAAAUGGAAUUAUAAACCGCUGGUUCAUUUGCAAAGGCGAGUCACGGCACCGUGGCAUUUUACUUGAUAUUUGAACGAGAACGAGAGGUGCAGUGCGCACGUAUAAGGAAACAAAUGACGGGAGGGGGGAUGGAAGGAGAAAGAGUGUAUGUAUUUGCAGUGCAGAAUGAAACAUGAGGGAUCAUACCAGUACUAAUGCAACGGAUUCUAUCAGAACUCCGCAGUUAAAGGUGCUUGGGCGAGAAAAGUAUUCGGAUGGGUGACCUCCUGCGAAGUCCUUAUAUUUCACCCAUUUGCUUGGGAGGUCCUCAUGUUUCACCCAUCUUUUUGCAAAUGAUUCUUUCGACUUUACGCGUGACUUGAUUUAUGGUCCGCAGGUUUAUUCGCAAAUGUGAGUCACGACGCCGUGGCAUUUUACUUGAUAUUAGAACGAGUACGGGAGGUGCAGUGCGCACGCACAAGGAAACAAAUGACGGGAGGAGGAAGAAAAGAAAAGGAGUGUAUGUAUUUGAAGCGCAAAAUUAAUCAAGUGGCAUCAUACCAGCACUAAUGCACUGGAUCCCAUCAGAACUCUGCAGUUAAGUGUACUUGGGCGAGAGUAGUACUCGGAUGGGUGACCUCUUGGGAAGUCCUCAUAUCGCAAUAAUUUUUUUUCCGUUGGGUCGUUCGACGUUACGCGCGACUGGAACUAUGGUCCGCUGGUUUAUACGCAAAUGUGAGUCAAGAAUCAGGGGCAUUUUAAUCGAUAUUAGAACGAGAAGGAGAGGUGCAGUGUGAAGGCACAAGGAAACAAAUGAUGGGAGGGGGGAGGGAAGGAGUGUAUGUAUUUUCAGCACGAAAUUAAACAUGUGCGGUCACACCAGCACAAAUGCACCGGAUCCCAUCAGAACUCUGCAGUUAAGUGUGCUUUGGCGAAAGUAGUACAAUGAUGGGUUACCCCCUAGGAAGUUCUCGUGUUGCACCCAUUUUCUUUUUUUUAGAUGUGCUGUUCGACGUUACGCGCGACUUUAAUUAUGGUCCGCAGUUUUUUUCGUAAUGUGAGUCACGGCGUCGUGGCGUUUUACUUGAUAUUUGAACGAGAACGAGAGGUGCAGUGCGCACGCACAAGAAAACAAAUGAUGGGAGGGGGAAGAAAGGGGAAUGAGUUUAU
RNAcentral lists this long non-coding RNA (2106 nucleotides) under Carica papaya (papaya). Lineage: Eukaryota; Viridiplantae; Streptophyta; Magnoliopsida; Brassicales; Caricaceae. The record is from RNAcentral.